RNAcentral lists this ribosomal RNA (253 nucleotides) under uncultured bacterium. RNAcentral describes it as "partial 16S ribosomal RNA". It matches the Rfam family "Bacterial small subunit ribosomal RNA", at positions 524 to 776 of the family's 1533-position model. The record is from RNAcentral.
GACGAAGGAUGCAAGCGUUAUCCGGAUUCAUUGGGUUUAAAGGGAGCGUAGGUGGCCUUGUAAGUCAGUGGUGAAAUCCUGUCGCUUAACGACAGAAUUGCCAUUGAUACUGCAGGGCUUGAGUACAGAUGCCGUUGGCGGAAUAUGACAUGUAGUGGUGAAAUACUUAGAUAUGUCAUAGAACACCGAUUGCGAAGGCAGCUGACGAAACUGUAACUGACACUGAGGCUCGAAAGUGUGGGGAUCAAACAGG